RNAcentral lists this transfer RNA (75 nucleotides) under Felis catus (domestic cat). It matches the Rfam family "tRNA". Rfam says of the family: Transfer RNA (tRNA) molecules are approximately 80 nucleotides in length. Lineage: Eukaryota; Metazoa; Chordata; Mammalia; Carnivora; Felidae. The record is from Rfam by way of RNAcentral.
GCCUGGGUGGCUCAGUCGGUUGAGCAUCCGACUUUGGCUCAGGUCGUUUCGUGGGUUCGAGCCCCGUGCCGGGCU